RNAcentral lists this non-coding RNA (811 nucleotides) under Trilophidia annulata. RNAcentral's name for it is "small subunit ribosomal RNA". The stretch from base 367 to 800 matches the Rfam family "Microsporidia small subunit ribosomal RNA", at positions 752 to 1303 of the family's 1311-position model. Lineage: Eukaryota; Metazoa; Arthropoda; Insecta; Orthoptera; Acrididae. The record is from RNAcentral.
AUAAUGUUUUGUUUAUUUUAUAAAAGUUUUAUUCUUGCUUGUAAAAUUCACUUUUUCUUUAUUUUAUAUAUAAGUUUUGUUAUACUAAAUGUACUGGAUUUUUGUAGUAAUUAAAUUUAAUUAUCAAGUUAUUUUGGAAUUAGUAAUUGAUUAAGUAUUGGCAAAUUUCGUGCCAGCAGCCGCGGUUAUACGAUUAAUGCAAGUGAAUUUUUUUGGUUUAUUGUAGUUAAUUUUUUAUUUGAGUUUUAUAAAGAAUUUAUUAGGUGAAAUUUUAUUUUUUUUUUUACUCUUUUUAUGAAUCUAUGAGACUUAAAUUAUAAACUAGGAUUAGAUACCCUAUUAUUUUAAGUGUAAAUUUUUUUACCUGGGUAGUUUUAGUUAAGUUCUUUAAACCCAAAGAAUUUGGCGGUAUUUCAUUCCAUUUAGAGGAACCUAUCUAAUAAUUGAUAAUACACGAUUAACUUUACUUAAUUUAUUUGUUUGUAUAUCUCCGUUAUCAGAAAAUCUUUAUGGAGGAAUAAUUUUCUUGUUUUUAAAAUAAAAUUUAUUUCAGGUCAAGGUGCAGCUUAUAAUUAAGAUUUUGAUGGGUUACAAUAAAUUAUGAUUUAUUAUGGAUUUAAUUCUUGAAAUUUGUUUAAUGAAGGUGGAUUUAAUAGUAAUUUAAUUUAUUAAAUUUAAUUGAUAUUGGCUCUGAAGUGUGUACACAUCGCCCGUCGCUCUCAUUAUUGAUAAUUUAUUAUUUGUUGUCAAUUAAUAUGAGAUAAGUCGUAACAUAGUAGAUGUACUGGAAAGUGUAUCUAGUAAGUUAAUC